RNAcentral lists this unclassified non-coding RNA (350 nucleotides) under soil metagenome. Its description in RNAcentral is "partial contains 5.8S ribosomal RNA, internal transcribed spacer 2, and large subunit ribosomal RNA". The stretch from base 1 to 120 matches the Rfam family "5.8S ribosomal RNA", at positions 35 to 154 of the family's 154-position model. The record is from RNAcentral.
GAUGAAGAACGCAGCGAAAUGCGAUAAGUAAUGUGAAUUGCAGAAUUCAGUGAAUCAUCGAAUCUUUGAACGCACAUUGCGCCCGCCAGUAUUCUGGCGGGCAUGCCUGUUCGAGCGUCAUUACAACCCUCAGGCCCCCGGGCCUGGCGUUGGGGAUCGGCGGAGCCCCCCGUGGGCACACGCCGUCCCCCAAAUGCAGUGGCGGUCCCGCCGCAGCUUCCAUCGCGUAGUAGCUAACACCUCGCGACUGGAGAGCGGCGCGGCCACGCCGUAAAACACCCAACUCUUCUGAAGUUGACCUCGAAUCAGGUAGGAAUACCCGCUGAACUUAAGCAUAUCUAAGCGGAGGA